Molecule: unclassified non-coding RNA, 147 nt
Filed under: uncultured fungus
Lineage: Eukaryota; Fungi
Description: sequence contains ITS1, 5.8S rRNA gene
Source: RNAcentral
AUGAAUCAUAAAUAGGGCAACUCUCUUUAGAGGCGUCCGACCUAUAUUCAUCCUUCACCCUGUGCACACUAUAUUUUCACACCUUUUUUAACACCAAAUACUCAUGAAUGUUACAAAGUCUCGUUAACGCGAGCAUAAAAGUUAAUA